CAUCAGAUGACUGAAAGCAAGUGAUGGUCUCUUAAACCAUUCUAUAGUAAUUUAGCACUUACUUCUGAUGA
Molecule: transfer RNA, 71 nt
Filed under: Suwallia bimaculata
Lineage: Eukaryota; Metazoa; Arthropoda; Insecta; Plecoptera; Chloroperlidae
Description: tRNA-Lys
Source: RNAcentral